RNAcentral lists this non-coding RNA (21 nucleotides) under Caenorhabditis elegans. Lineage: Eukaryota; Metazoa; Nematoda; Chromadorea; Rhabditida; Rhabditidae. The record is from RNAcentral.
UCGUUCGAUAAUGGUUUUAUC